Molecule: long non-coding RNA, 870 nt
Filed under: Mus musculus (house mouse)
Lineage: Eukaryota; Metazoa; Chordata; Mammalia; Rodentia; Muridae
Description: predicted gene 12519
Source: RNAcentral
GCCAAUGCUACACUUCCUUAGCUAGGAGCUAGCAAUGCUACGUGGAAUUGCAUGUCGAAAAUAUUUAAAAAGUCAACCUGCCAUCUCUCCUGCCCUGCUCGUCCAAGUUCCCACUCUAGUUCCAGUACUGGCAGGCUUCACCACUAUAUCCCAGCAGGGUCCUGCUUGGCAUGUUCUCCCAGGUAUCUUCUGAGAGGUUGUUCUCUCUCCACUUCUCAUUCAAGUCUGAAGAUGCUUACAGUCACCUGCAGUACUUCUAAAUCAGAUUUAUACCCCAUGGCAUAAAACAAAGCAACGUAGAAAAUCUCUGACUGCUCCAUAAUGCUGACUUCACAAAGUCCCCAGCCACCCACAGGAUCUCUCAAAGUUGUCAUCUGGAGGAUAGGGGAGCUUUGGGGAAAAAAUCAGAGCCCCUCAAUUACCAAUUCUGACAACUCUUAUUUUAGCUUGAAUCUCCCCAUGCAAAUAGACAGUUGACAUGUGAUUGGAGAAGAAAUAGAAAGUUUUGAGAUGGAAGAGGUCACAGCUCCAAUGAUCUCAGCCGAAGAAGAUGAGGAAGAAGACCAGCACAAGUGGUAAGAAUCAGAGUCUCUCUCAAAUCAGCUUUUGCUGGUAUCAGGAUUUCUCUGGAGGACUCAACAAAGUCCUCUCCAUGCCUGAGAUUCCUACAAUGAUUGAAAUUCCAUUGUUUCUUCCCCGUGGAAUAACCAUAAGCUUCCUGAGGGAGUGCACCUCAGAGAGGCCUCGCCUGGGACUUGAAACAUCCAGCCCACUGUACGCUGUGGCAUUUGGACAGGUUCUUGCCUCGAGUUCCUGCUCUGCCUUCAUUUCACUAUACCUAGAAGCUGAAAUAAACUAUUUCCUCCACAA